This 2034-nucleotide long non-coding RNA is filed under the name Sus scrofa (pig). RNAcentral describes it as "lncRNA (ENSSSCG00035026843.1)". Lineage: Eukaryota; Metazoa; Chordata; Mammalia; Artiodactyla; Suidae. The record is from RNAcentral.
GAUGUGUAGAAACACAAUGAACAGGGGGCUGUCCAUUUAAGAUUCCAUUGCAUUGGGUUACACUGGUAGCAAUGAAUCAACUACUUUUAUUUUCUAUGUAUUUCCUAUGGAACUCAUCCUGAGCUAACAAUCCAGAGAAGCCAUCUUUUUCACUUUUCUGCAGAGGGCUCUACUUACUUUGGCUGGUGUGUUCGGGCUUCUAGACCAGCCUUGAUUCCUGGCAUGAAGGCAUGUUUGGCUUCUCUGGUCUCUGCCUUGUAUCCCUUCAGAAUUUCAAAAAAUGAACAUGAUUUUGAUGUACUGUGCCCUGUAUAUUUACCCUUUGGGAUAUUUCCUUCCCACUCUUUGGCCCAGAUUUUUGACUCUGUUUGUCCUAAACCACAGCCUCAAGUUUGGACCAUUGCAAAAUAUAAUAAGGUGACUGCAGUUUUCACUGCAGAGGAUAGUGAGUCCGUCAGUCAAGUAGAUUACUUGGGAGUUCAGUUUCUAUGGGAUGGAAGCAGGAAAAGACAGAGAAGAGCAGAGGCACUCAAUCACCUCCUUCAGGGAAAGGAGGAUUGUCAGUCUUCAUUUGGUAUCAGAGAUGCCUUUGAACUUCAGGAAAGCCGCCAUUUUGUUUUUGUUCACUUCUCUAAUGCUUUGUGUCUGCAACAUGAAACACAAGAUAUGUUGCCAUGGAGCUGCUGAUGAGUCACUGAGUCAUGGCUUGCUUUGCUCAAGUGACUGUGGUUUUUAUAACACUGAUACUCAAAUCAGACACCCGUGGAUUCUACUUUUAAAAACUUCAAGGCCCAUCCUAACUCAGAGUACCUCAUCACAAAUUGGAUUGCAGAGAACUCAAAUGAAGAGGACAAGCAAACUCAGGAAUGUGGAGCACCCAUCAUCUGCCAUGGUCAAGGAGAUAAUCUGUGGAGAGAGAGAGAAAACAGAUGGAGAGAGCUGCACACGCAGAGAUCCACGAGGCUCCUGAGAAUAAACAAGAAUCUCUUGGCUUCUCAAGAGCCUUCCAGACUUUCCUCCUUAUGUUUGGGAGUUUUCCUGACUGCCCUCCUUGACCUUGGUCAGCAAGGACACUUAUAAACUUGGCGGUGUGGGGGGUGUGUGUGUGUGUGUGUGUGUGUGUAGUGGGGAAGGUCAUGAGAUUUAAGCCAGUUUCUAUUAUUUUUUUUUUGUCUUUUGUCUUUUUAUGGCCACACCCAUGGCAUAUGGAGGUUCCCAGGCUAGGGGUCUAAUUGGAGCUGUAGCUGCUGGCCUACGCCACAGCCACAGCAACACGGGAUCUGAGCUGUGUCUGUGACCUACAGCACAGCUCACAGCAACACUGGAUGCUUAACCCACUGAGCAAGGCCAGGGAUUGAACCCGCAACUUCAUGGUUCCUAGUCGGAUUCAUUAACCAUUGAGCCACAAUGGGAACUCCUGAGUUUCUACUCUUCAUAUACAUAAAGUUCCUAAAGCAUAUUGGUAAUACUUUUCUAUUUUAAUUGAACUUUGGUAUUUACUCUAUCAUUUUCCAAUGGAUGUGGCAUCAACUUAACAUUCUCUAGCCUCUCCUUUCAUUAUUACCUGGCCCCUAAAUAACUUUUGCCCCCACUUCUUGUCCCUCUUCCUCCUUUUGGGGCUCCACCAUCUUUGCCUCUGCUCAGCUAUUUCUUCAACUUCAUCCUUAUUCCUAGAUGUUCUAGGCAAUCUCCUACUCAACUCAAAGCUCAACAAAAUAUCUCUUCCUCUGUAAUGUCUUUCUGAAUAAUUCAGGAAAGAUGAAUCAUUUUGCUGUUUAUAUUCACACAGUAUUUUAUUUGCCUUUAAUAUAUUAUGUUAUCAUUAGUGGUUAAAGUGUUUCCCUCAAGGGUAGAGACUGGGUAUCCCUCUCUAUUACUUAUCUUUUAUCACCAUCAUGUAGGACGGCACCAGGAGGGGAAUAAUAAGUGCUCAGAAAAAAAAAAUAUAUGUUUUGUAUGAAUGGACUCAGGAAAUAUCACAGCAAAUAUGUGUAUGUGAUGUUUUGUGAAUUCUAGAAAUAAAGUAUGUCAUCC